GGUCCCGUAGCUUAGUUGGUAGAGCGCAAGGCUCUCAACCUUGUGGUCGUGGGUUUCGAGCCCCACAGUGAUUU
Vitis vinifera (wine grape) is the source of this 74-nucleotide transfer RNA. It matches the Rfam family "tRNA". From Rfam's summary of the family: Transfer RNA (tRNA) molecules are approximately 80 nucleotides in length. NCBI's taxonomy places the organism in Eukaryota, Viridiplantae, Streptophyta, Magnoliopsida, Vitales, Vitaceae. The record is from Rfam.